Long non-coding RNA from Equus asinus (donkey), 4313 nucleotides. NCBI's taxonomy places the organism in Eukaryota, Metazoa, Chordata, Mammalia, Perissodactyla, Equidae. The record is from Ensembl.
GCUGACGUCACGAGCACGAGUGCACGCGGUGCCCCGCCUCUAGGAGACGUCGAUGGACUCCCCAGGCCCCAAGGGACGAGGGCUCAGCAGGCCCGGUCGGGGCCUGGAGACCAGCGGCUGGGAGCAGGCCACCGCGGGCGUGCCAGGAGGUCCUGAGGGGCAGGCUUGAUAUGGCCUUUGUUUGCAGUGAGCUGCAGCUGCUUGCUCCUUGCCGAAGCUCCAGGAAGCGGGAAUGCUGGCCCUGAGGUGAGGUGAGGAGCAGAGGGCCCCUUCGUGGGAUUCAGGCCUCGGCUGCAGGGGGCCUGCUUUCUUCCCCAGACCGUGGUUCCAUCCCCAUAACGCACAUCCCCAUACCGCAGCCCAUCUUCCUUUUAGGAAGUCCUUUUAGCAUGUCCACCACUGCUCUUUGUGGCAAAUGCCCCCAGGACGUCGCCUCCUCUUCGGAGCCCAUAGCAUCUGCUCAGUCAGCCUCUCUUCCUCCUCCCUCCGGGCAGCACCCUGCAGAACUCACUGUCCCAGAUGGGCUGUCUGAGCCCUCGCCUUUGCAGUUUCUUAUCCUUCACCCUUCCAGUGACCGGUGUCCAUCUAGCCCACCCCCCCAGCUGUCCCCUGGGAACUUGCUGCCACGAGGCCUCUCGGUGCUCACCACUCUGGCUCUGCCGUCCCCCUCUCUGGCACAGAUGUUCUCCUGCCUGGCUCAUCCUCUCUGCUCCGUGUUACUUCUCUGCAUCCCCUCCCCUCUGCUGCGCCUGUUACCCAUUUUCCUCACUUGCCGAGAGGUGCAGAGUGCACCAUGGAGAAUGCUGCCUCUGCCUCCCAUGUGCUUCUUUGAGGCCCAGGGAAGGUUCCCGUUGGCUCCUGCCACGUGUUUUGCAGCACCACAGGUCUGGGACCGGCUUGACCCAAACUCCCAGUUUCCCCCAUAUACUUCUCGGCAGGUCCGGUUUCCUCCUCUCUGAAACGCCUUUUGCCCGUCUUUCUGUUGAGCUGCUGGUCUCUUUGGUGCGGAGUUGUGGGAGCUGGUUCUGAAGCCUGGGUGCUCAUCUCCCCUUGGUUGUUUGCGUUUCAGAUUCCUCCUCUGGCCCUCGGGGGCUGCUCUCCUCCUCCCUUUGCAUGCCUGCUUUGCACUCGGCAUUCACCUAGACUCUGGAAGUGUAAGUGAUCCCAAAGGUCAGGGAAUGUCCACCACCCCUCCAGCUGGAGGCUGCCCUCCACCCGCAGGCCCGCCACCUGGGAGGAGUGGUCCCCGAGGAGGAGGUGCCCUUGCGUCCAGCACUCUGCCCCUGAGAAUGGGCUCCUUCUCAUCCCUGUGAUUCCCUCUGUCACCGCUUGGCUGUAGUUCCGUGUCCUGACCUUGCUGAAGAGGAGGCCCGGCAGCCGUGCAGCAGCAAGAGGACAGCGAGCCUUGUUUCUUCGGCCCCAGUCUCCCUUUUCCUCCCAAUCCUCAUGUGGCCUGCUUCCAACAGGCAGACUCCACUGCUCCUCUUGCUCCCUGUCCCCUGGGCAGCUCCAGUUGGCUGCAUCCCUCUCAGUACGGCCUGGAUCACGUGGUCCAAUCUGAGGACUGUACUUAUUUCUGCUUUGUCUUAGUGACUCUCCAAGUCCACAGGAGGAAGCUGCAUCACAAGGCACCUGCAGUCACCCACGAGCUACUUUGCCGCCACUGCUUAGGUGUGGUGCCUGCACACAGAGGGUGGCCCAGCCGAGUUGGAACCUUGGGAGUUUCCGUGAACUUCUGGCAACCUCCUCACUUGCAUUCAUAUCACAAGCCAGAAAAGCACCUUCAAUCGGGGGCGGGGCGAGGCUCAAUUCCAUGUUUCCAUCUUCUGAGUUUCAAUAACAUCUUCUUUACUGUCCUCAGUCUCUGAGCAAACAAGCAACGACCCCCGCGCCAGGCCCUCCACAGCUUGAGGGAGGGCAUCCAAACGUCACACUGUGGCUGAGUGACAGUGUGUGGUCCAGCUUAUUUGUUUACGAGAUUCAGGUGUGGGGGAUCUGGAGCACGUGCUGCCAUCCCAUAGCUAUGGUGAUGGGGGCUUGAAUGGGUGGACUAAUGCACUCUGUUGCAGAAGACCCACUCGGCCAACUCCUGAGUAUCUGCAUGCUCGCUGUGGCGACUUUGGAAAGUACAGAAAGUAUACGAAGAAUCAGGACAAAGGUUGCUCAGGAGGCACUGCCCGGAGGCGUGAAUGCUCACAGUUUGGGUCUAUUUCCCCACUUCUGUUUUUGCUGAGGAAGAUUAGCAUUGAGCUAGCAACUGUGCCAAUCUCCCUCCAAUUUAUAUGUGGGUCGCUGCCAUAGCGUGGCUGGUGAGUGCCCCAGAAUCCAAACCUGUGCCCCCGGGCUGCCGAAGCCUAGGGCGCUGAACUUAAGCACUAUGCCAUGGGGCUGACCCUCCCCCCAUUCUUUUUCCGUGUAGUUCCUCUUUACUCAGUUGAGCUCCUGCUGUGUGACCGUUCUGUCUUAUGUUUUUUCGUUUAACAUUAAGUGUUAUCCCAUGUUCUGAAAGAGUCCUCAGAAGACAUGUCACUCAGGUCUGCACCUUGUUGUGGAGUGUAUUGGAUUCCAGGCUCUCCCUGCUCAAGCCCAACUGACAAAUGUUCGAGAAUGGCCCAGCACACCUUGGACCCAGUGACGUCCUCUGGUCAGAAACUCCAGCACGGGGGUCCUCCUGAAGUGGACGCGGAGAGCGAGUUUAUUGAGACUCCAGUGUCAAUGUCGGGUUGGACGCUGUGUCCAACAGCCUCCCACGGUCUGGUAAUCCCAUUUCCCAGCGUUCAGUCCCCCAGUGCAUAGCCAGAGGUCCCUUUGGGAGGGGUUGGGGGGUCAUUCCCGUGCCUACUUGCCAUGGCACUACAGCGUCCUUCCCCCUAGGGUCCUGGCCACCUCCCUAGUCCACGGUUCCAGGUCAGAAAACUGGCUCAGGGGCAGAACCUGGGCAAGGGAUCAUGACUUUGUUGGGGUGGCUGCCCUCAGCCACCUGCCGUGUGUUCUUGCUCUUUAGAGGGUCCAUUUUAGGCUGCACCUUGGUGGGUUGCCCAUCCAUUGUGCCCCCAGCGAGGCCAUGUGGUAUUGACCCCCUCCGCUGCUGGAGGGGUCAGGCGUCCUUGCCAGUGGUGUCCAUCAGUGUCAGCCCUCACGUGCUGGCCAUUCAGUGCCACCCUGGGACCUCUACUGCUGUUCAUGGGUCAGGCGGUUGUGCAGUUCCUUUCCUCCCUUAGCAGGCUUGGCACAUCCUGCCUGUGUUGUGUGGUAACUUCACUCUGGUUGGGGCCCUGGCAGGAAGCCGACCACCUCUUCCUGGUUUUCCUGGGACUCUCCUGGUUUUAGAACUGCAAGUCCUACAGUAAACCAGGAUGGCUGGUCACUCUACCUUCUGGGAUGGAAGGCACCCAUGGAGAAAGAUGUGCAGGCUUUUUGCUCCCUCAGCGAUGGGAUGGGUGCAUUAGCUCUUUAUGGGAAGGAAUGGGCCACUGCUCCAGGCUCAGAGGUUUCAGAGGCAUCUGGGGAGUCUAGCUCUUCCAGGGCCCUCGCCCAGAUGUGCCUGUCUCUUGUGUCAGGGGUGCGGGUUUUCCCGAUGGGGCUUCUGAUGUUGGCCUGACGGACCUGCCUUGGUGAACGUUCAGCUGUCUUUGAAGUUCAGCCACUCCUAUCAAAUCCUGGGUUUGCCCUUCGUCCACUGCCUGAGAUGGGGCGACUUUGCAACCUACUGAGGAGACUCUGGGGCUCCCCCUUAGUUUUCACUCUGUUAAUCACCCCGGGAUUCUCAUUACCCUGCCAGUCAUCAAAGCAAGAGGGUCACCUCCAUCCAUUCCCCUUGUCCUUCGAGUUGUCCUUCCUGUACGUGCCACACGCCUGGGUCCCCUCACCUGCCGGGAAAUUCCUCUCCACCUGCCAGCCCAGCGAAAAGUUCUGACAGGAACGUGCUAGCCACUGGGCUGUCUGCACACCACCAACCCCCGGGAUGAGGUCCUCGUUACCACUGGGGCAGGUGAUGAGCAAUCCCGCACCAAGACCCUGUCUUAGCACCUGCUUUUUGGACCACUCGAGAAGCAACUGUCUCAGGUGGAAUCUUUCAGGAAGCUGCCCCCUGAGAGGGAGUGAGGCGUGCCAAAGGCUGACUGGGGAAUAACACCCACGAAGGGAGCAGGGAGAAGCAGGGCUGGACAGGUUGUCCCUUCAGCCUGUGACACCGAGCUGACAGUUUCUCCCAGCCCAUCUGGGAGCUGCAGAGCAGGGAUCGGCCCUCAAGGACCUGCACUCGGCGGGGUAGUUAGGCCCUCACUGUGCCUGAGGCCUUGCAAUCCAGGUGG